AUUGAACGCUGGCGGAAUGCUUUACACAUGCAAGUCGAACGGCAGCACGGACUUCGGUCUGGUGGCGAGUGGCGAACGGGUGAGUAAUGUAUCGGAACGUGCCCAGUCGUGGGGGAUAACGUAGUGAAAAUUACGCUAAUACCGCAUACGAUCUAUGGAUGAAAGCGGGGGAUCGCAAGACCUCGCGCGAUUGGAGCGGCCGAUAUCAGAUUAGGUAGUUGGUGGGGUAAAGGCCCACCAAGCCAACGAUCUGUAGCUGGUCUGAGAGGACGACGAGCCAGACUGGAACUGAGACACGGUCCAGACUCCUACGGGAGGCAGCAGUGGGGAAUUUUGGACAAUGGGCGAAAGCCUGAUCCAGCCAUUCCGCGUGCAGGAUGAAGGCCCUCGGGUUGUAAACUGCUUUUGUACAGAACGAAAAGGUUUCUACUAAUACUAGGAGCUCAUGACGGUACUGUAAGAAUAAGCACCGGCUAACUACGUGCCAGCCGCCGUAACAC
RNAcentral lists this ribosomal RNA (500 nucleotides) under uncultured bacterium. Its description in RNAcentral is "partial 16S ribosomal RNA". It matches the Rfam family "Bacterial small subunit ribosomal RNA", at positions 30 to 526 of the family's 1533-position model. The record is from RNAcentral.